RNAcentral lists this ribosomal RNA (257 nucleotides) under uncultured Leptotrichia sp. RNAcentral's name for it is "partial 16S ribosomal RNA". It matches the Rfam family "Bacterial small subunit ribosomal RNA", at positions 99 to 355 of the family's 1533-position model. Lineage: Bacteria; Fusobacteriati; Fusobacteriota; Fusobacteriia; Fusobacteriales; Leptotrichiaceae. The record is from RNAcentral.
CGGACGGGUGAGUAACGCGUAAAGAACUUGCCCUUUAGACUGGGAUAACAAGAGGGAAACUUCUGAUAAUACUGGAUAAGUUAGUAUAUCGCAUGAUAUGCAAAUGAAAGCUACGGCACUAAAGGAGAGCUUUGCGUCCUAUUAGCUAGUUGGUAAGGUAAGAGCUUACCAAGGCGAUGAUAGGUAGCCGGCCUGAGAGGGUGGACGGCCACAAGGGGACUGAGAUACGGCCCUUACUCCUACGGGAGGCAGCAGUC